CAAUAGCGUAUUUUAAAGUUGCUGCAGUUAAAAAGCUCGUAGUUGGAUUUUGGGACGGUUUCACUGGUCUGCCGUUUGGUUUGUACCGGCGCGGCCGUCCUUCCGUCUGACGAACAUUUCUGCGCUUGAUUGUGUGGGGAUGGGACUCAGACCGUUUACUUUGAGAAAAUUAGAGUGUUCCACGCAGGCUUGUGCGCAUGAAUAGAUUAGCAUUGAAUAAUGAAAUAGGACUUUGGUUCUAUUUUGUUGGUUUCUAGGACCGAAGUAAUGAUUAAUAGGGACAGUUGGGGGCAUUGGUAUGCCGUGGCCAGAGGUGAAAUUCUUGGACUCUCGGCCGACUAACUUCUGCGAAAGCAUUUGCCCAGGAUGUUUUCAUUAA
Molecule: ribosomal RNA, 379 nt
Filed under: uncultured eukaryote
Lineage: Eukaryota
Description: partial 18S ribosomal RNA
Rfam family: Eukaryotic small subunit ribosomal RNA
Source: RNAcentral